Anguilla rostrata (American eel) is the source of this 1251-nucleotide long non-coding RNA. RefSeq lists it as uncharacterized. The record is from RefSeq and is a predicted model, not a curated record. The transcript is spliced from 3 exons. NCBI's taxonomy places the organism in Eukaryota, Metazoa, Chordata, Actinopteri, Anguilliformes, Anguillidae.
CUGUGUGGCACGUUGGCAUCAACCGGCCUAGUUUCCACUAUGCUAGCUAACUAGCUGAAGAAGUUAGCCAGACAGCACCAGCAGUAGCCUUUCACGUUCAACUUGAAAUUGAGACGAUCUUCGAAAUACAUUACACACUGUAUAAAAAUGUACAUGCCUUCCUGCCUUCCACGAUGCUUCCUGCCUACGCCACGGCUGAGCUACAUCUUUCCAGCAGGUGGCGCGGGACUUCACUUUCUGGUGCCUACUAUCGCCUUCUUCGGAGGGGGAGUGCGCAGCAUGAGUCGGGAGCCCUGGCCUUAGCGCUUUCGCUGCUCUUGGACGGAAGGUGUCAAGUUCUAGCCAGAUAACGCCAGUGGAAUGAUAUGCCGGUCCAGCGCCAAGUCUCACGGCAGCUCCAUCUCCAGUCUGCUGUCUUUCUCUGGGCUUUCGUAAACUGAACCAAAAAGAAGAAGAAGUUUAAGGGCCAAUUCAUGGUGCAAGGGCCGGUUUUGCAUUUUCCAGCUGCUAGACCCUAGAACCCUUGUAAACCGUGUAAAACCAACACCCCCUCCUCCCAGAACAUGAACAUUUUAACAGAUUUUUAGAUAUGCCUUACACUUUUUGGGGGUCAAAAAGCCCAGCCACGUUUUCACUUCUUUUCCCUCAUCUGAUCUGUGAAAUGCUUUCAAAACCUGUCCAGGCCAUCAGAUCUACGCCCGUUUCGCGCUAAUUGGUCCCAGCGCUUCCUGCCGGAUGUUGCAGAAGCUCCAUUGGCAUUCACGUCACAGCUCCCUGUUCCUGCCAGCGCUGGCGGACGUCUGCUCCAGACGUGGCUCUCUUUAGAGGGCGGCAGGGGGCGGAAGCUUUGAAGAAACCUGCUGAUUGGAGGGAGCAGAACUGAAGCAGUGCAGGAAGAGAAGCAUCCUGGCUGGAAGAUGGAAGAGCAGGCAGGGGGAGCAGAAGUACACUGGCCAGGAAAGCAUCGAUUUUAAAUCUCAGGGCUUUGCAGUUUUGUGGAAUGCACAGUGUAAGGCCUCUUAAAAACAAUGUCUGCUGUGUCAUUGGAAAUCACCAGAAAAUCUUAAUAUGUCCAUGUUUAGAUAAAAUAUAUAGAAUGAAUAAAAAACCUUUCAGAUAGCAAGCACAUGUUGUUUGCCAGUGCAUUUCUUUGCAAUUGAUAGAUGCAAAGCCAAAACAUGAGGCACUGGAUCUGAGACACUUUUUGCAGCAGUUAACAUAAUUAUGAACCUUUUAAAUGUAUUUUGAUGC